GGAGAAAUUUCGGACAGAUUCAAUGAUUUAUGUAAUCAAAACAAAAGCUAUGAUGAAAUUGAAGAAAAUGGAACAAUUUGUAUAUGUCACUCCUUUUCCUUUUAUCUCUUUUCGGUAUUCUUGAUCAAUAUUUUCUCCUCAAGUUUUCCACAUAAUAUCUCAUAAUUUAGGUUUUAUAACUCUAUUUUUAGAAUUUUAUAUUAUUUUUUGUCGAAUCCCGGCACCCGUAUCCGUAUUGGGAUUCUUACCCGCGAAUCUUAAAAUUUAGAUCAUGACGAAUCCGACCUCUAGAUCCGUACCCGUAUCCGACCCCACACCCUAGUCCGAGCAACAUAGGCCAUGAUGAAGUCUUUUUUCUAAUCAAUUUAUUAAUUUACGCCUUGCAUUUUGAAAAGAAUUUGCUCUCUUUGUGAUUUUCACUAUUUAAACCAGCAGAGAGCGCUUGGCCAGGUUCAUAGAGAAUUUGACCUUCUAACUGAUUUCUUUCAAUCUUCAGUUAGCAUAAGAGAAAGCCAUUCUCGUUAACUCCAUAGUCAUCUCUCUCAAUACUACUGUACAGUAAUGGAUAGUGAGAUGAUGAAGGCGGUUCCAGGCACUGACUUUGAAACCUUUCUCUCCGAUCUAAUGGAGGAACGAUCGGAGGAUGAGUCCAUGUUGGACAUGAUGAAGCAGAAUGAUCUCGACGCCCUUGCUCUUAAAAGUGUUAGCUUUCUCAGCUCUUCCCAUGACGACAUGCAUUCUCUUGAGAAGUGGGCUUACCUCCUUUCCAGGUUGCUUAAGGUUGAUGAUGACUUAUGCACUUGGCGCAAUCUAAGCACCUCCACUCAAUCUGCCAUCAAAUCUUUUCUUCUUAAUCCUAUCAACAAUUUUGAAGAAUCACAAUUCAUCAGCAAAGUGCACCGUUAUACCAUUUACAGGCUGGCUGCUUCACUUCUCCCAGACAACAGCUGGCCUGAACUUUUGCCAUUCUUGCCUUCUGCAAAGACUUUGCAUUCACUAUUCCGUAAUACACUGAAUGAUGAUACCGUUGAUCUAAAUGUGAGGAUCGUAGCCAUGAAGGCUGUGAUCAGAUUCAUUCAGCGUAUGUCAAGUUCAAAUGAAAAGGAGCGCUUUGAGGAUUUGUUGCCAGGGAUGAUGAAGACGUUGACUGAUGCAUAUCUGAGCAAAGGCGAGGAGGAUCAGGUUGCAGACGAGCAACCCCUGGCACUUUUUAUAGAGUUGGCCAAGAAUGAGCCUAGGUUCUUCAGAAGGCAGCUAGUGGAUGUUGUAGCCACCAUGUUCGAUAUAGCAGAGGACAAGGGUUUGAAAGAGGAGACAACGAACUUGGCAGUUGAGUUCUUGAUGACUUUGGUUGAGGCGAAGAAUAGGGCCCCAGGCAUGAUUAAGAGGGUGCCCUUGUUUAUUAGCAGAUGUUUCGCUAUGUUAUUGAAGUUAUUACUAUAUAUUAAGGAUGACCCUGCUUGGCAUAGUGCUCUUGACGCGUCUGAUGAUACAGGAGCAACAAGUUACUACUCUAAGGGUAAGAAGUGUUUAGACCGGUUUUCUCUUGCAUUAGGAGGUAAGUCUAUUGCUCAUGUUGCCAUAGAGCAACUGUCUGCUUACUCGGCUGCGCCAGAAUGGGAGAAGCGCCAUGCAGCUCUCAUUGCACUUGGUCAGAUUGCUGAAGGUUGCUCAAAGGUGAUGAUUAAGAACUUGGACCAGGUGAUGGCUAUGGUUCUCAAUUGUUUCCAAGAUCCUCAUCCUCGAGUUAAAUGUGCAGCUUGCUAUGCAGUUUGCCGGUUGUUGGUUGACUUCUCCCCACAUUUGCAAGAAAAAUACCAUAACCAAGUACUUCUUGCAUUAGCUGCAGCAAUGGAUGAUUUUCAUCCACGAGUGCAGGCACAUGCCGCAGCAGCUCUCUGCCACUUCCGAGUGCCCGGCAAGCCAGAAACUUUGAUACAUCGUCUAGAUGGAUUAGUUAACAAACUGCUUGUACAUCUAAAGAAUGGUAAACAAAUUGUCCAACAAGAAGCAUUAAAAGCAUUGGCUUUUAUAUCUGGAUCUGUUGAGGGGCACUUCCGAACCUGCUAUGAUGCUGUUAUGCCACACUUGAAAACUCUCCUGAGAAACGCAGAUUUUCAAUCUAAUCUCAUUGUUCUUUCAUGUGCAAUGGAGUGCAUAAGCUGUGUUGUGAUGGCUGUUGGCAAAGAGAAAUUUAGAGAUGACGAAAAGCAGGUUAUGGAAAUGCUUAUGUCAUUACAAGCGAAGGUGGAUGAUCCUACUACUACCAAAUACCUGCUACAUGCAUGUUGUAGAAUUUGCGAGUGCAUGGGAAAGGAUUUUCUUCCCUAUAUGAAUGUAGUCAUGCCCUUCUUACUUCAAUGUGCUCAACUUAAUACCAUCUCUAUGGAGCAGUACAAUGAAAACUAUAAAGUAGAUGCUAAUAGUAAAGAGACACUAGAGAUGAAAGCUAAAGCCUGUAGAUUGCUAUGUUGGUAUGCUGAAACAUUGAAGGAAAACUUUUACCCAUGGAUUUCCCAGGCUGUUUCAAUCCUUGUUCCGCUUCAGAAAUUCUAUACCCACAGACUUGUCAGGGAAUCUGCUGUUGAAGGCCUACACUUCCUGUUGUGUUCUGCUAAACUGGCUGUUGAGAAAGGGGUUGCUCAAGAGGAAAGUGAGUCGUAUUUCACGAAGUUGUCAAACCAUAUAAUACUGGCUUUGGUUGAAGCUUUGCAUAAGGAGUUUGAGACAGAAAUGUGUGUAGUCAUGUUGAGAGAAUUGAAUGGUUGUCUGCAGAUUUGUGAAUCACUUCUCACUGAAGGACAGGCUCGUAGCAUCGUGGAUGAGAUAAAGCAUGUCAUUACAGACAGUUCAAGUAGAAAACAAGAACUCAAAGAGAGAGAGAAAAUGGAAGAUUUCGAUGCUGAGGAAGCUGAAUUGUUGACAGGAGAAAGCGAGCAAGAAGAAAAAGUUUUCGAGAAUGCCCGCUAUAUAUUGCGCACAUUGAUCAGAACUUUCAAGUCUUCUUUCUUGCCUUUCCUUGAUGUGUUGUCAUCAUAUUUAUUACCUAUGUGGGCCAAGGAGAAAACAACUACUGAGAGAAGCUCAUCUAUUUGUAUCUUUGAUAAUCUUAUGGAGGAGUGCCCUGAAGCAGCUCUAAAGUACUAUGAUUCAGGUCUUCCUUUAAUUUUGGAUGCGAGCAAUGACGAAGACCCGGAUGUUAGACAGGCUGCUCUUUAUGGACUUGGGCUUUGGGCCGAACAUGGUCGUUCUUCUUUCAAACCUUUUGUUGGAGCGGCUCUGUCAAGGAUCAAUGUAGUGAUAAUGCACUUACGUGCUCGUGAACAUGAGAAUGAAAGAGCAUAUGAUAAUGCUGUUUCUGCACUUGGUAAGAUAUGUCAGUUCCAUUGGGAAAGUUUCGACUCAGCCGAGGCUAUUCCAGCUUGGUUGAAUUGCCUGCCUAUAAAAGCGGACUUGGAAGAAGCAAAAGAUGUUCAUAAACAGUUGUGUUCAAUGAUCGAAAGAUUUCUCACUCGCAGGUCAUACAGAGAACUUUUGGGUCCCAACUAUCAAUACCUUCCAAAAGUUGUUUCAGUUUUCAUAGAGGUUCUAUGUGCUGGAGAGGUUCUUGCCACAGAAGACACUGCAAAACGUAUGACUAAUCUUUUGAGGCAUUUUCAGCACACACUUCCACCAGCCACGUGGGAGUCGGCACAGUCCUUGUUAUUGCCUCAACAGGAGAUGAAGUUGGAAUCCAUUGUAUCACCUGAGGAUUAACAUUUCAAUCGAUGCAAUGAAGUUACUAAUAUUGUGAACUUGUGGGAGUCAAACAUUUUGAUGCGAAAUUGCUGAAGGUGGAAAAAGGACAAGAAGAUCAGUAAUACAUUUAGCAGUGUACAGCCACAUUUAUCGUGUUAGAGUUUGUAUUUUGAAUGUGGCAAAUACAUUUAGCAGUGUAGUCAUUCUUGACUUACUAAUAUGAAGCUGAUGAAAUGUAGCAUUCAGCAAAAAUCAAUUCCUGGUCGGAUACUUUACUGUUGUACUUCAGAAAUUGUAGAAGAAGUCUACAUCCGAAAUUUCAAGUCAUUUAGGCUUAAUUUGAAGAUUCUUAACAUCGCUGGGUUGAAGAACUUGAAAUUGGGUCUUGAGAUUUGGUAGUUGUUUGGUUCCAGUUUGUAUUGGGCUUUGUUCUCUGACUUGAGAAAAAGUUAAAUCUGAGUUUGGGACCAUUUUGACUGGAUUUGAAGAAGUUCAAAAUUUGAAUGUUCAUAAUGUUCUUAGUGUCCUUCAUAUCUUGUUGAAGAAGAAGAUAGAAAAGGUACAAGUUUGAUCCAAGUUUGGGACAGGUGUUUUUAUGUCCAAAAUGGGUAAAUACUAAGUGAAGUGGGUCCAAGGAAAUCACAAAAUCAGAUUUUCAGCUCAAAUUUCCUCGAAAAAAGAAUCAAAAAAUUGCAGCAGCUGAAGCCACCUACAGUUGACAUACGGACCGUACUCUAAGUAGGGGGUUCACCACUUCCCUCACUGGAUAAGACUUACGGUACACAGGCGGGCUUACAUUCCAUAUACGGUCCGUAAAAGAAGACUUUCACCGUAUCAGGUACCGUAAAUUCAACUUGCAGUCAAAUGGCUUUUUAUCAAAUUUUCUCACUUGUAGGUUUGACAGAGAACUUUUAGGUCCCAACUAUCAAUGCCUUACAAAAGUAUUUCAGUUUUUGCAGAGGUCAGUGUGAAAUCAAAACUAUUAGAUGCUAGAUUGAGUUGUUCAUUUGUGAUGGAUAUGAAGAUUUUGCCACUGUGAUUCUUUUACUUAUUCUUGUAAGGAAAGUAUGAUGAGGAUAUGAAAUGAGCUUAAAUGAAGAAGUGGGAUUCAUAUAGCCGAUCCCAACUUGUUUGGGACUGAGCAAUAGUCGUUGUCUCUAUAGCUGACAAAUAUCUAAUCAUAAACAACACUACCACCAGACACUGUGGAAUCAGCAUGGUCGUAUCUUUUAUCUCAGCUGGAGAUGGAACUGAAAUCCAUUCUAUCACUUGAAGAAGUUGCUAACUUUUAACCAAUUCAAUGAAACUACUACUACUGUAAUUAUUGUUGGAUCAAACAUUUUGACGGUUGAUAUUCCUCCAAUGUAAUUUCCCAAUAAUUCUCUUUCCAGCUUGGUUGAACUGCCUGCCAACAAAAGCUGACUUGAUUGAAGCCAAAAAAAUGUUACAGGGGGUAGCAAUGAAUUCAAUAUAUGUACUGGCCAUUGCAAAUAUGAUGAACUGUAGAAAACCAUUAGUUCUUAAUGUGGACAACUCUUUUAUGCCGCA
This is an RNA transcript of Lycium barbarum (goji berry), 5286 nucleotides long. RefSeq lists it as uncharacterized. The record is from RefSeq and is a predicted model, not a curated record. Lineage: Eukaryota; Viridiplantae; Streptophyta; Magnoliopsida; Solanales; Solanaceae. The transcript is spliced from 21 exons.